CUGAAUUAUUCACCCUUGUCUUUUGCGUACUUCUUGUUUCCUUGGUGGGUUCGCCCACCACUAGGACAAACAUAAACCUUUUGUAAUUGCAAUCAGCGUCAGUAACAAAUUAAUAAUUACAACUUUCAACAACGGAUCUCUUGGUUCUGGCAUCGAUGAAGAACGCAGCGAAAUGCGAUAAGUAGUGUGAAUUGCAGAAUUCAGUGAAUCAUCGAAUCUUUGAACGCACAUUGCGCCCUUUGGUAUUCCAAAGGGCAUGCCUGUUCGAGCGUCAUUUGUACCCUCAAGCUUUGCUUGGUGUUGGGCGUCUUGUCUCUAGCUUUGCUGGAGACUCGCCUUAAAGUAAUUGGCAGCCGGCCUACUGGUUUCGGAGCGCAGCACAAGUCGCACUCUCUAUCAGCAAAGGUCUAGCAUCCAUUAAGCCUUUUUUUCAACUUUUGACCUCGGAUCAGGUAGGGAUACCCGCUGAACUUAAGCAU
This 479-nucleotide ribosomal RNA is filed under the name Alternaria alternata. RNAcentral describes it as "eukaryotic LSU rRNA". The stretch from base 121 to 274 matches the Rfam family "5.8S ribosomal RNA". RNAcentral also lists the same sequence under 1 other name. The record is from RNAcentral. Lineage: Eukaryota; Fungi; Ascomycota; Dothideomycetes; Pleosporales; Pleosporaceae.